GAUGAAGAACGUAGCGAAAUGCGAUAAGUAGUGUGAAUUGCAGAAUUCAGUGAAUCAUCGAAUCUUUGAACGCACAUUGCGCCCCUCGGUAUUCCGUGGGGCAUGCCUGUUCGAGCGUCAUUUACACCCUCAAGCUCUGCUUGGUGUUGGGCGCCUGUCCCGCUCCCGCAGCGCGGACUCGCCCUAAAGUCAUUGGCGGCGGUCGUGCCGGCCCCUUGCGCAGCACAAAUGCGCUUCUCGGAGGCCCGGCGGAUCAGCGCUCCAGCAAGACACCUUCAUGACUUGACCUCGGAUCAGGUAGGGAUACCCGCUGAACUUAAGCAUAUCAAUAAGCGGAGGA
Molecule: unclassified non-coding RNA, 340 nt
Filed under: soil metagenome
Description: partial contains 5.8S ribosomal RNA, internal transcribed spacer 2, and large subunit ribosomal RNA
Rfam family: 5.8S ribosomal RNA (bases 1-120)
Source: RNAcentral